UUAAAAUAAAAAGGGUGGUCCUCAAGCAAUGCUCGCUCGCUCUUCUUCCUUGCGCUUCACGAUGUUGUUUAUCUCUCAGAUUCCCAAUAAGCGCCUCAAUCCUUACUCCAUUGACUCUCUGCCUCCCCAUCUCUCAGUCACAGCUGCGGAGUCGCUGAUGUUACCCGCCCUCCCUUCGUCACAGUGUCUGUUCUCCCUCGGUGGACAACUCGUACGUAGAAGACGAAAUCCUGCUUGGCCCCCCUCUCGCUCAAUCGCUCAAACAACCUCACUCCCUCAGUAGUUUUCAAUCAUAGUUCUGCAAGUUUUGAAGUGCUUGUGAUGAUGGCUUUGUCGUAUCAAGAAUGAUGAAGACUUUGUUCCUUCCUUACCAAGACCAUUGUCAAUUUGAAAAUGUUGGAAUUCUGUUCAAAUGGCUUCAAGUGUAGCUGAACUGUUUCUCUGCAAUCUAACAGUUUAUUUCCAUUACUCAAACUACUAGACUGUAUCAUUAUGUACACCAUUGCCUUUUGUGUGAAU
Molecule: long non-coding RNA, 519 nt
Organism: Prosopis cineraria
Lineage: Eukaryota; Viridiplantae; Streptophyta; Magnoliopsida; Fabales; Fabaceae
Exons: 3
Source: RefSeq, a predicted model, not a curated record